CAACCUACGAGGAAAGACCUGUAAGAAACUGCUAGUAAAACUGUGAAUUGAUGAGCAAAAAUACCGCAUGAGGCGCAGGCUGAUGGCUAGAUAGUGCAAAACAUCGAAGUCACAUAAUCUAACAGCCGCUUUAAACGGUGUAAAUACUGAAUUGUCUU
Molecule: non-coding RNA, 158 nt
Organism: Nitrosomonas cryotolerans ATCC 49181
Lineage: Bacteria; Pseudomonadati; Pseudomonadota; Betaproteobacteria; Nitrosomonadales; Nitrosomonadaceae
Source: Rfam